RNAcentral lists this ribosomal RNA (444 nucleotides) under uncultured bacterium. Its description in RNAcentral is "bacterial SSU rRNA". It matches the Rfam family "Bacterial small subunit ribosomal RNA", at positions 355 to 792 of the family's 1533-position model. The record is from RNAcentral.
UGGGGAAUUUUGGACAAUGGGCGCAAGCCUGAUCCAGCAAUGCCGCGUGAGUGAAGAAGGCCUUCGGGUUGUAAAGCUCUUUUGUCAGGGAAGAAACGGAUUUUCUAAUACAGAGAUCUAAUGACGGUACCUGAAGAAUAAGCACCGGCUAACUACGUGCCAGCAGCCGCGGUAAUACGUAGGGUGCAAGCGUUAAUCGGAAUUACUGGGCGUAAAGCGUGCGCAGGCGGUUUUGUAAGACUGUCGUGAAAUCCCCGGGCUCAACCUGGGAAUGGCGAUGGUGACUGCAAGGCUAGAGUUUGGCAGAGGGGGGUAGAAUUCCACGUGUAGCAGUGAAAUGCGUAGAUAUGUGGAGGAACACCGAUGGCGAAGGCAGCCCCCUGGGUCAAAACUGACGCUCAUGCACGAAAGCGUGGGGAGCAAACAGGAUUAGAUACCCUGGUA